AGCUCGACGGGGUCGACGCCGCGGGUGACGAGGAGGUAGUCGCGGAUGCAGAAGGCGUGGCGGCCCUC
Molecule: non-coding RNA, 68 nt
Organism: Nocardioides sp. Soil774
Lineage: Bacteria; Bacillati; Actinomycetota; Actinomycetes; Propionibacteriales; Nocardioidaceae
Source: Rfam